CGAGGUAGACGCAGAGAACUGAAACAUCUAAGUACCUGCAGGAAGAGAAAGAAAAUUCGAUUCCCUGAGUAGCGGCGAGCGAAACGGGAAAAGCCCAAACCAACAAGCUUGCUUGUUGGGGUUGUAGGACUCCAAUAUGGUCGUUCUUUCAGAUAGUCGAAUGACUUGGAAAAGUCAGUCAAAGAGGGUAAAAACCCCGUAGACGAAAUGUGGAAGACACCUAGGAGGAUCCUGAGUACGGCGGAACACGAGAAAUUCCGUCGGAAUCCGGGAGGACCAUCUCCCAAGGCUAAAUACUCCCUAGUGACCGAUAGUGAACCAGUACCGUGAGGGAAAGGUGAAAAGCACCCCGGAAGGGGAGUGAAAUAGAACCUGAAACCGUGUGCCUACAACAAGUCAAAGCCCGUUAAUGGGUGAUGGCGUGCCUUUUGUAGAAUGAACCGGCGAGUUACGAUUGCAUGCGAGGUUAAGUUGAAGAGACGGAGCCGCAGCGAAAGCGAGUCUGAAUAGGGCGUUUGAGUAUGUAGUCGUAGACCCGAAACCAUGUGAUCUACCCAUGUCCAGGUUGAAGGUGCGGUAAAACGCACUGGAGGACCGAACCCACGUACGUUGAAAAGUGCGGGGAUGAGGUGUGGGUAGCGGAGAAAUUCCAAACGAACUUGGAGAUAGCUGGUUCUCUCCGAAAUAGCUUUAGGGCUAGCCUCGGAAUUGAGAAUGAUGGAGGUAGAGCACUGUUUGGACUAGGGGCCCAUCUCGGGUUACCGAAUUCAGAUAAACUCCGAAUGCCAUUCAUUCAUAUCCGGGAGUCAGACUGUGAGUGAUAAGAUCCAUAGUCGAAAGGGAAACAGCCCAGACCACCAGCUAAGGUCCCAAAAUAUAUGUUAAGUGGAAAAGGAUGUGGGGUUGCACAGACAACUAGGAUGUUGGCUUAGAAGCAGCCACCAUUUAAAGAGUGCGUAAUAGCUCACUAGUCGAGUGACCCUGCGCCGAAAAUGUACCGGGGCUAAACAUAUUACCGAAGCUGUGGAGUACACCUUUAGGUGUAUUGGUAGGAGAGCGUUCUAAGGGCGUCGAAGGCAGAUCGUGAGGACUGCUGGAGCGCUUAGAAGUGAGAAUGCCGGUAUGAGUAGCGAAAGACAGGUGAGAAUCCUGUCCACCGAAUGACUAAGGUUUCCUGGGGAAGGCUCGUCCGCCCAGGGUUAGUCGGGACCUAAGCCGAGGCCGAUAGGCGUAGGCGAUGGAUAACAGGUUGAUAUUCCUGUACCCGUUGUUUUUGUUUGAGCAAUGGAGGGACGCAGG
Molecule: ribosomal RNA, 1299 nt
Filed under: Enterococcus faecium
Lineage: Bacteria; Bacillati; Bacillota; Bacilli; Lactobacillales; Enterococcaceae
Description: partial 23S ribosomal RNA
Rfam family: Bacterial large subunit ribosomal RNA
Source: RNAcentral